This is a long non-coding RNA of Rana temporaria (common frog), 4051 nucleotides long. RefSeq lists it as uncharacterized. Lineage: Eukaryota; Metazoa; Chordata; Amphibia; Anura; Ranidae. The transcript is spliced from 2 exons. The record is from RefSeq and is a predicted model, not a curated record.
UUUUUCUUUCAUUGUUUUACCAUCCAAUAUUACAUGUACAAAAAUGGCCAUUAAUACUAAAUUGCUAAUCUCCAUAUAUUGCCUAUUAUAAUUAGGUACAAAUUCUUUAAAAUACCAAAACAGCUAUAAUGACCAAUCAAUUUAAAGGAACAGUCACUACAAAUAUACAGGUAACAACUAAACUGGGAAAAAAAAACAAAUAAACAGCCUUUGUAAAAAAGACAAUUAACUAUUUAUGAAUUAGUUGAAAGUGUGUGUCUGCUACUGCUGGUCAGUUUCAAGAAAAUAUGCAUGGCGAUAUAAAAAGGACUGGGAAAACACAAAAGGACAUAUCAGUCCUGUCCUUUGUAUUGUUGCAGCUUUCUUUAUAUCUUUUUAAGUAUGGUUUGAGGGUUACUGAAUUACAGCUAAAUGGACAAAAGGGAAGGCAGGGAAUGUGAAGAGGUGAGUUCCCAUUUUCAUUCUUUCCCCUGUGAAUGUUUACUGCCCCUCCUAACCCUUUUAUUCUCUGCCCUCUCUCCCUCUCUCUCUCUCUUCCUAAAAAUAGUAGCUCUGGGGAAAAAAAAAAAAAAGAUACUGCGGGAAGUUCAGUUAGAAGAAAAUCAGGGAUGGCCAGGGAUCUAGGAAAAAUCGAAGAAGGUUAAAGCGGAGAGAGAGAAGCCAGGUUGGCAGAUGUGAAGGGGAAGAUACGAAGAGAGCAAGAGAGAGAGGACAGAGAGGAGGCAGCAGCGACCCGGGAGAAGAGAAAGGAGGGGAGGGAUGUAUGGAUGAAUGAAAGCAAGCAAGGAAGGAAGCAAGGAGGCAGGCAGCGUUAGGCAGACCCAUUCAGGUUUGUUUUAUCAACCUCUAUCAUGUUUAUUAUUUACACUUUCUUCACACUUUGACUUCUAACUCAUUUUCUUUUAUGCUUUUAACAUGUUUCUUUAUUUCUUUUGCUGUGUUUUAUAGAUCCCCAUCCACUUACUACUGAAGUAUGUUGCUUUUGGUACUGUCCAAAACAUACUGUCCCCUUAAACUUCUACCUUGAAUACUAAGUUCAUCAGACUCAAAUGAUUAUCCUCACAAGCAAUAGAUCAAGGCUCACUCGACCAUUAAUGUGCUCAUCUUACAGCCUACAAAAUGAAGAUGUAAUGUAUUUGUUUUUCGUAUGGACUUACUUGAAUCAAAUAUACUGUAUGCAACCGACAAAAAUAACUCCCAAAAUGCAAAUCAAUUUACGUCAAUUGGCUGCUUGGUGCCAAUUAAAUUAUUUAGGAAAAGGGUAUUCUGCUGAGCAAUCAUUUCAUUCUGCAGAUCUUCCAUGGUACAAACAGAAGUAAUAUCUGAAAUUAUUGUCAUUCUAUCCUUAAACAAUAAAAAAAUAGCUUAUUACAUAUUGAGUUUUGCAAUGCAGAACAUAUUCAAAUGACAUAUUUCUUAACUCUUACCCCCAAGAUAAAAUAUAUGUUAUAAAAAAAAGUAGUCCUCAGGUCGCACUGCAUGGUCAUGGGACACCUGAAAUCAGUGGACAACUUACUGCCUUGCUAUAGCAGAACAUAUCUGUUGGUAAGAAACUUGCUGCCCAUAUUCUAAGUGCGUAAGGACCACUGGUCAAAUGCAACUUGCACAAAGCUCUACUCAGCUAGUGCUAUAGAAUGCAACAGAAGAAAGUCAGGGAACAUUACAUGUAAGUGUCUUUAUGGGGUGGAAAAGUAAGAGAGCAAAUAUUGUCUCUUUCAUUCAUGCACUUUUAUGAAAAAUCUCAUGAUGCAUCAUACUCUACUUUCAUCUAAAAUAGCUUCUUUCAACAUAAAAGCUUAUAUAAAAUAUCAUACAGUAAUAAUACAUAUGUUUUAUUUUUUCUUCACAGCAUCUAUGGUAGCCAAGGGCUACCUUUCUUAGUAAAUGCCCAGUAAUGAGUCAUAUAUAUUCCAGUGUUGUGUUGCUAAUAUCCACCAUUAAAACCCGACGCCUGUUGUCACAGUAGGUGCACAAUGCUGCCAUGACCUACACUUGUCACAAGUGUAAGAACUGGUGGCAGCACCUGCUGUCUUUAGGACCGUCAGUCCUUACAUCUCUCAAAAAUGUUACAGACAAAAUAUAUGCCUAUGUAUUUAUUAAUUCAGUAUAUAAGGAUAUGUUCAACCAAGUGAUUGCCAAGGUUUUUUUUUUUUUUUUUGGGGGGGGGGGGAUUUUAUAUGUAUCCGUUUUAACUUUGUAUUAUUCAUACAGCUCUGCUUUGAUAACCUUGGUCCUUUCAUAUAUUACCAUUCCUCACACCAACGCUGUUCUCAAAAGAAAUAUUUAGAAAGGUGACCAUGUAGCCUGUCCAAUGAGACAGAGGGCCUGCAUUACAAAACAUACAGUACCUGUGAAUCACAAAAUAGCACAGACAAAUUAGCUGUGAAACUCUUUUGUGUUUUUCUUCUUUUUAGACCAAGGACACUCACAUCAGCAGCAUUUGGUGCUCAAGUUCCGUGAACUAUUGUGGAAGUAUUGCAUUGAUUUUUUUUUCUCUAAAUACUAUCAUAUGUACAAAAAAACGUUCUUUUUUUAAAAUAAAGGGAUAGAAUAUCUCAGUGUUGUCAAUUUGUGUAUUAAGCUCUCAGAUUUGUGUCAGGUGUGUGUGGUAGUAAGCUGGGCUCAUUUCCUCUACUUUGAGGGAUUUGGGUUUUUGGGCCUUGUUGCUCAAACAUAAUGAAAUAUUAUCAGGCGAUUGUAAAGUACAGGCAUGAUAUCACAUGCUCAACUGCUCUCACUUCAUUGGAAAUCCAAUAUAUGGGAUUUGAAAUAAAACAAUUUCCAUUGUGUUUUACUGUUUGUGUCAAAAAAGCACAUUUGUUUUUGAUUUAGAUCCAUCAUCGCUGAAGUGCAACACAUUUCAGGCUCUUCCAUAAUAGACGAAGUAGCACAGCCUUAGGGGAAGGAGUGCGGCACUAACAUAAAGACGUACAAGUGAUCAGAAAACAAAUCCUUUUACAAUAUAUAUAUAUAUAUAUAUAUAUAUAUAUAUAUAUACACACAGAUAAUUACUCUUUCUUGGUUAUUUGGGAUUUUUUAAUAUGGUAGUGUGAGGUGAAUGAUUAGGUCUAAAGAUCAGUUACCCAUAGCAACCAAGUUACAUAUAAAUCCUGAAGGAUGACUGCAUUCUUCUGAUAAUCUUCUUUUAUUAACUAAGUGGUAUAAAAACAAGAACACAAUUUUAAUGCUGAAUUCAGUCCUUUUUUUAAAUAAAAAAAUUUGUUUAGCAUGAAAUGUGUAAGCGAUUCCAGCGUUCUUGUAUAUUCGCUAACAAAAUAAGUAUUUUAGUAUCCCACAUAAUAUUUCCAUAUGUAUAGGCAACAUGGUAAUAAAAAGUCAUAUUUGAAAACAGUGGAUGUGAUGGGGCUGAAGAGCAGAUUAAAGCUGGCCAUACACUGACAAAAAAUAAGGAUUCCUCCAUCCACACUAUACACCAGCUGUCAAAAUACCCGAACAAUGGUAGCAUCUGAUUGGAUGCAGCCAUUUUUUGAGCAACAAUGUUUUGCCCAACUCUUUUGAUUUUUCUGAUUGGAUGCAGCCAUUUUUUGGCCUGACAAUGUUCUGCCCAACUCUUCCGAUUUUUUUAAUAAAAGGAUAUCAGACAGGGAGUUGGCAGUGGCCGUCAAGGCCACCCACUGUGUAAAUUUCAUGCAGAACUGGACACAAUUCACAUAGUGUAUGGCCAGCUUUACCUGGAGCUGCGAUUUAUGCCACUUUACAUACAUUGAAACCAUUUAGAUGUAUGCGGUCAGAUUAAUAAUGGGAUUGCUGACUGGUUGCUAUAGGUUAUAGCGCCAACUCUGCUUUAUUUUCUUUUCAAUACUUUCUGGCUCCACUUAAGUGGAAGCAAUUAGUAGAGGCAGCUGUCCACUGAUCGCCUUGAAUCAAACCUAUCCUAAUUAUUCUAUACUUUUGUUGGCAUUGGUGUUUCUAAAUAUACUUGCACAGAUUUAUUUUAAUACAUAUCCUUGGUUGCUAUAGGUAUCACUCUUUGUAUAUAAUUAUUUAGCAUUUUCUGACUGAAUAAACCAAAUUGCUUUGUAUCAAGAAA